This is a long non-coding RNA of Cavia porcellus (domestic guinea pig), 6035 nucleotides long. RefSeq lists it as uncharacterized. Lineage: Eukaryota; Metazoa; Chordata; Mammalia; Rodentia; Caviidae. The record is from RefSeq and is a predicted model, not a curated record. The transcript is spliced from 3 exons.
GAAUUGUGAGUCUGCUGGGGGACUUGGAAUCACAGAUGGCUCCUGUGGAAGUCACACUGCAUGACCCAGGGAGUAUUGACUUCUCCUGAAGUUAAGGCCCCAUGACUAGGACAGUUCUUGUGAGAGUUGACUGGUAUUGUGUGACAGGCCUAUGACUUGACAGAAGAUGGCAGUAGAGGAGCCCCUAGCCCAAGCAGAAGGACUCAGGGGACUGUUUCUCUCUACUCAUAAUACAUGUGUACAAUCUAAGCAGCUUUGGAAUAUGGGAGCGGCUGAAAGAGCUAAAGCAAAAUGUCAGUGAAACAGUCCCACCAUGGAUGUUAUACCUAUUGGAAAAUGACAAUAAGAAAAGGCAAAAUGCAAUCUCAAACAUCUACUCCAUCAGGAGCAAGACCAACAGACAUUGAAAUAGAGGACUUUAAAAGGCAUAAAUCAGAAACUUCAAAAGAUAGCAAAUGAAGUAAAGAAACAGAUCCAUGAAGCUAUAGAGGACAUCAAACUAGAAAUAAUGUCUCAUGUAAAGAAAUAACAGAUGUAACAACUGUAGGAAACAUGUUUCUCAACAUAGCUAGAGAAGAAACAGAUAAAACAAAAAAUACAGGAGCAUGGUAAAUUGAAACUAUGAGUGAACAACUUAGAAAACAAGCAGAAUCUAUGAAACAUAUGCAAAGAGAUAUUCAAGCAAUUAAAAAAAUUGAAAGCUGGCAAAACCAUUUAAAUGAUGCGGAGGAUAGAAUUUCAUAAUUUGAGGACAGUAUUGCAGGGAGUGAUCAUGAAAGUGUAGAACAUAUAAAAAUAGCAAAGCAUCAUGAAAUGACAAUCCAACAGCUUCAACAUGAUGCCAAGAGAAGCAAUGUAAGACUAAUAGACAUCAGUGAAGAUGCAGGAGUCAAUGCAAAUGACAUAACUAGGCUAUUCACAUAAAAAUAACAGAAAAAUUUCCAAACAUGAAGAAAAUUCUGAUAUACAAAAAAGUGAGACACACAAAGUGCAAAACAGUCACAACAAACAUAAGUCUAUGGUCAAACAUAUAAUAAUUAAGAUCCCAGACAUACAGCUUAAAAAGAGAAUACUAAAACUGUUAAAGAAAAGACACAACUCACCUGUCCAGGAAAGACUAUGAUUACUAUUAAGGCAAUAUUUCAGCACAAACCGUCAGGUUAAGAUGAGCUUGGAGUGAACAAUUUCAAGCCCUAACAGAAAACAACUUUUAACCUAGACUGAUGUACCAAGAAAAAGUGUCUUUCAAAUUUAAUGGAGAAACAAGAUACUUCAAUGACAAAGAACAACUGAAGAAAUUAAUGUCCACCAAACCAACCCUAGAAGGCUUACUGAAAGACAUGAUAGAUAGAGAUAAAAAGGACCACAAUCUCCAGAACAACAGAAAGAAAUGACCAGGCUGGGCAAGAAAUUGAACAAGGGAGAAAAGCAGGAAAUCAACAACAGGAAUACAACCUGGCAAUGUCAAGCCAGUACAUAUCAGUGAUAUCCAUAAAGGUAGAUGGGCAUAACUCACCUAUAAAAAGAAACAGGUUGACAGAAUUGAUCAAGAAACAGGACCCCACAAUAUGCUGUAUACAACAAACACAUCCUACUCAAAAUUCAUAGAUUAAAAGACAAAGGAUGGAAAACAGUUUUCCAUGAAACAGAAACCCAGAAAAAACAGGGUAGCUAUUGUGUUUGUGGAACAUGUGAACUUUAAACCUAAAAUGUUUAAAGGAGAUAAAGAAGGCAACUACAUAUGUGUAAGUGAGAUACUGCAAAAGGAAGAAUUACAAAUAUAUAUGCACCAAAUACAGGAGCACCCAACUAUAUAAGGCAAAUACUAAUGCACAUGAAAAACCAAACACAAGUACAUAAUUGCAAUAGGAGACUUUAACACCCCACUGUUACAGAUAGACCAACAAGACAAAAAGUCAGCAAAGAAAUAACAGCACUGAAUAAUACCUGUGAGUAAACGGACUUGAAGGAUAUUUACAGAGUGUUCCACCAAACCACAUCAUAAGUUAUAUUGGAAUACACAUUCUUCUUAGCUCUACAUCGGACCUUCUCCAAAAUAGAUCAUAUAUUAACCAAUACAACAUGCUUAACUAAAUGCAAAAGGAACACAAUUAUCCCAUGCAUAAUAUCAGACCAUAUCUCAAUAAAAUUGGAAAUCAAUGGCAAAAAAGUGCAAAGCCUUCAAAUACAUGAAAAUUAAAUAACAACUUUCUGAAUAACCAGUGUGUUACAGAUGAAAUUAAAGGGCAAACAAAACAAUACUUAGAAUACAAUGAAAACACAAAUACAACAUACUGUAACCUAUGGAAUGCAGCGAAAGCAGUCCUCAGCCUUUGAACCUCCAUUGGGCAGGCAGGGCAAGAAAGUAGAGGAAGACAAGGGGCUUUCUCUGCCAAGACAGAAAAUAUAGAAGGAAAAGGGGCCCAUCCAGCUGUAAGUGUUACACCCACUUCUGAGCCUGUAUCCUGAGGCCAGAGAGGAGACAGCUGUUUUGAUCACUUUGCUAGAAAUCAGGAGUCGAAACAGAGCUACAAAGGCUGGACUUGGGAGCCCAACUGAGGGAUCCUCUAGAAGAUUUGCCUGCAUUUUGUUUUCACUUCCUGUUCCAUGACUUAGUCGUCACCAGCUGUGGCAGUGUGAAUUCACGUGUCUUUCCAAGUGAGCUGCUUCUGGGGAUCUUGUGUAGGCAGCACACAGUGAGAUCUCUAUGUGUCUCUGUUAGGUUUUGCACAGAGCAAAGUAUAAAAGUGCAGUUCCCACGAUAGUAAGAUUGGCCCCAAAGUUCCAUUAGUGAGGUCUUAGUUUGAAGACAGCUGAUGCUUUGAUUGUCAAGUUUGCAUGUGCAUGAAGGACUCAGUGCUGGCCAGGUAGAUUGUGUCCUUCCUGUACGAGGUUUUUCAUCAGUUGUGCUUUUAUACACACAUAUCAGAAGUGGAUUUCUUGUUUGUGUUUUGCUUAUAAAUUAUCAUAUUUUUAUUACUACUUAUUUACAGUGUGUACUGAUUAUGUUUUUUAUUAGGUCCAUGGCACAUGUGAUGCAUAGAAUGGAAAAUAGGCCCUACCCUGUGCACAGUGGUGCCGUCCAUCAAUUCAUGACUGUUCUCAAUGUGGCAGCCAUUGAGAACCUAGUUCAGGGUCAAGCCAUUGCCAGCACAAAGCACUACUUUGUCUGGAUUCUUCUUUCUUUAUGAUCAUUGCAGUGGGUAUGAUGCAAUAUUUGGAAGCUUAGUCCAGCCCUAACCCUAACUCUAACCUGAACCCCAAAUCUAACUAAUCCUAAAAAGUCACUACCAGCAUUCUCUGGGGAAAGAAAACUUGAUGGCAUUGAUGUGGGAAAUGUAACAUAAGUUAAUUAUAAGGACAUAAGAUCACUGGUGGCUGGGGUGGAGCAGCAAAGGAAAGUAAAAAAAAAAGCAUUGUGUAAAAAUUUGAAGAGCAUUCUGGAAUUGGACAGUGGGGAAAUCCUCACAACAUUGAGAAUACACUGAAUGCCAGAAAGCUGAUUACUUUAAACUUCAUUAAAAUGUUACAUUUUAUUUAUUUUGUUCUGUCACUAACAAAUCUGAGAAAUAAGAGUAGUGAUGAAUACAAUGAUAAAUACAACUGGAAGAGAGGGGAAUGGCAGGGGUGGGUCAAGAGCUGCCCACAGGUAGAACUCAAGAGAUGACUCCUGCUGUGGAGCACCCAGGAGGUCCAGCUCUGCAGCUGAUGGACAAGGGAAUCCAGUUGCUGGCUCUUGCUGUGGGGCCAGAGCUGGUGAGGGAGCUGCAGGUGGAGCUGGCACAAGGUCAGGAGGUGCAACUUAUGCAUGAACUGAAACUGGACCUGUAAUUUCAGGAACAGAAAAUAUCACCAACUGUCCAUGGAUUUCUUGGGGCAAACCCUUCCCACUGCCUGUCAGAGGCAGCUGUGUGCACCAGCUGAGCCCUAGCAAAGCCUCCCAGACUACAUCCCCACAUUGACUGCUGAGGAUCUCAUGCUGGGUCACAAAGCAUUUGGGCACUUUGCUGAGUUCCAAUGCAUAUCCCCUGCCCACAAGUCAUAAACUCUGGAGCUCAGGCCUGGGAGGUUCAGGGUGCUCUACCUGUUCCUGAAGAAGCUUAGCCUUGGGAUCUACAUGGAAGUACAGUUCAAAUGAAGACUCAAGCAUAGAAGAUGUGGAUCUGGGGCAGAAGGGAGCCAGCUGAGUGAGAGGCCUGAUAUACCUGGGGAACUCAUCUGUUGGAGGGCUGUAGGCUUUUUGCCCAGUCUGUACAGCAUCCAGCCACAGCCUCUCCCACCUACAGUGGGGCACUUUGGGCCCAAGGAGCCAUUAGAGGCUGAAGAAGUCUCUGUGAGAGGGAGACCUUGCAUAGUUGUAUCACACUUGUACUUUCUGACAACUCUCCUUGCCCCUCCCCAUUGCAGUAAGCUUGGUGAAGGCAGUGACUGCUAUAUGCCAUUUCAUUGCACUCAAUGGAUCAGGGCUGCUGCUCCACGAAUAUUUGAGAAGUGAGAGGUCAGUUGGUAUCUGCCUUGCCUCUCUGCUGUCUCUAGCUUAGGCAGUGAUCCAUUGCUUACCCACUUAUGCAUUGUCUGUACCCACACUGAGCGAGGCCUGGGGUCUAGAAAAAAGGCUUUUAGGUGAGCAAUAUCUGUUCUGCUGCAAAUGGUGACUCUGUGGCCUCCAAAGAACAUUGUAACUCAAAAGGGCAGGCGUUGCAUCUGCUCUGCUUACAAGGUCACAGCCAAUACCCAGAAAUGUGUCUGCACACAGUGUGUCUUUAUGUGUAUUUGUAGCAUAAUUAAACCUAUUUGUUCUUCCAUGAUAUCUGACAGUCAUGGAUUCUUUGCUGUACUCAGGGUUUCCUGUGUUGAACAAACCCUGAGACCCAUAUAGUGACACUCCAAUCUCCUUUCCAAAGAAUAGAAAACUUCUCCCAAGUAUUGGUCAGUAAAGGGGAUGGAAGAUCAUUCAUGGGAAUCAGCACAGCCUCUACUGUAGGUCUUCAUGGGGCCACGCCACAGCUAACCACUUUGCAUGGAACCCCCAUUUCAUCCCCAGUGACCCUGAGGUCUCAAUGCACUCAGCACUUCAUCGUUCAGCAUUGUAAACUGGGGUUGAGUGAUCAACUUGCACAUGGCCAGAACUUGAAUCUGCAGGUGGCCAAGUCUCGCUGGGCUGCUAAGCCCUGAGGCUCCUAUGAAAGGAAAUGCGGUGCCUGAAAAUUCUUGUAAGACAAGCACCAGAGAAAUGGACAGAGUGGACUGACAUUUGAGAAACAGAGCCCUAAGAGGAUGACACUUGAAGUAUGAUACCUGGACUCUAGCAUAGCAUCAACUUGGGUCUUGUUUUAGAAACAUCAGUGCUUGUGUUUCACUCCAACCCUAUUGAAACAGGAAUCUGACAAUGGGCCCAGCACUGCAUUUUAACAAUUUUUAAAAACAUAAACACAGUGCUUCCAAUUCAUACAACACUUCCUCCAGUUGAUCCACCACUGCUGAUCUUCUCAUGGGGCAACAAUGAGCACAGGAAAAGACUUCAUUUCCCAGCAUCCUUUGCUGCAAUGUGUGGUCAUGGAAGUGAAUUUUGAACAAUUUGAUGGAAGUGGAAGUAGGAUUCCCAGGAAACCUCCUGGAAAGGAAGAGAUGCCUCUUUGGACUUCUUCUCAAAAUGCUGGGUUUGAAUGGUCACUCACCAUGAUGUCAUCACCAGAGCUGAACUGAUGCCAGACCUUCACACUGAGCCUCUAGCAUUGUGAACUAAAUAAACUCUGCUUCCUCUGAAGUAUCCAGCUACAGAUAGUUCAUUAUGGUAAUGAGACAUAGACUAAUACAGAGGGAGUGAGUUGGGACAGAUGAGGUGACAACUGACAGGCCCACAGGGUCCAGCAUACAGGGCACAGGGUGUGUUUCUCAGACAAGGCAGGUUUUUAAAAUAAGCUUUAUAGAGGCAGGAUAUAUAUGUCAUAAAUUAUAAUCACUCUACAUGGACUAUUCUGCUAUUUGAGACUAAAAACUUCAAUCACUGAAAAUUUUCCCUUCUAUUUUUGCAG